AGCCUCAGGGAUUAGCGAGCGCGACAGGCCCAAGAUCACCUUCUCUACAGAUGGCUUCUGAGGACAUCUGUACUUAAUUAACUGUCACAGUCGAUGGCUACAUCUGAACCUGAUAUUCUGUCCCAAAAGAAACACGAAGUUAUAAUAGUACAAUGCCGUUGAGCUCAGGACCUGGAGAAAGUGACUCCAGGCUAUCUGUCCCGGGUUCAAUGACUUUUGGAAUGAUGCUGGGUCUCUCUGAGCUCCUGUGUAACUCUAAAACAGACAGUAUUCUGACUGGGAAGAGAAACAUUUGACCAUACUGGAAGUGUGUUAACAGAAGUACCAGAAUAUGCAAAUGCAAGGUGUAUUUGGAAAGGAUUGGGAGCCCGGUGUGGUUGGAGGGGAUAUAAUGUAAAAUAUGUUUUCCAAGGUAGGUUGAAGUUAGAUGACGGGGAAGCCGAAUGGCUGGCUAAAGAGAUGUAACUUUUUCUAUAUACAAAUAAUAAAGAGUGACUCAAAGUUUUGAGGAGGAUAUAGCAUGUAAACAUAGUAUGUAAAUAUUAGUACGUGAAGGAUGGCAGAAUAUGCCACCCCAAAAUAGGCCACUUGGGCAUGUAGAUUAUUUUGAGCUGAAGGCAACUGAGAAAAAGCAGACACGAGAAAAGCUCCCCACUCUCCUCUUAUUUGUCAGUCUAACUUACAGGGCCCCAUUCAAUAAUCCUAAGAUGGGUGGAAAGAAAAUAACUUUUCCCUCCCCUACAUAUGCUAUCAGGAAUGGGAAUGCUGGACGGGAGAUUUUUAAAAAGGCCAGUUAGGACUAGCAUUCACCUUAUUCCUAGAGUGAGAUGAUGGAGGCCUGACCUGGUCCGGAGAGGUUGAGAAGGGCUAAAAAAGAGGCUGAUUCAGUACAAGGUACAGAGAAGGAGGAGACCAUGGCCCCGAAUCUAGCUGGAGUUGAUGUUUGAAGGCCAUCUUCCACCACACUUUUCGCUAACAUCCCAUCUCAUGGAUGGGACCUCAACCCUAUUCACAAGUAAAGAAACUUAAAUUUACAGACCUUCUAGAACUUUCCAGACCACAACUAGCUAUGAGUAGACUAAGGCUGGCCAAGGAUCCGACUUCAAAUCCAGUAACUGGGAGAAUAAAAAUAGUUGCAAAUGAGGAGGAGGGAAAUAACCAGAACCAGGUCAUGAAGGGAGACACUGAGAGACACACUUGCUCUUCAGCUGCCUGGUGACCAUCAGGGUAGCGGUCACCCAGGGGUGAUGAGAGAUACUCCCUCGUUCUCUCACAGCACUUGACAGAGGUGACGGCUGCUAGUGCAGAUAUUUGGGAACACUUAGGGUGAUCUUUUGUUUGUUUUCUGUUCCUCUGUUUGGAAAGUUAACAAUUGGGGAAAUAUAAGUUUCAGUUCUGGUGAACCUUCCAAACUAAAAACAAGAAGAAGGAAAAUAUUCUGAGAUCAAAUUUCUUCUAGAAAACUUCAGCAGAGUGUAAAGGCAAACGUUAUGGGAAAUCUCGUAACAGAGAUACAAAGGCCACGAGCAUUUGUCUUUUAAGCGGGGAGACCAGGUGUUUGGCCUGAUGGCAUGGGAUGAGGUUCAUUUAUUUUAAUUACAUCUACUAAGACCCUUAUCUACAUAAGCAAUUGCUUUUGGCCAAUUAGAAAGCGUUAUGCCUUCCUUGAAUGCCAUCUUGAAAUAUGCUCUUUCCCAAAGAUUCUGAGGAGGGGGACUUGUGAUCUUGGGGAGCUCCAAAGAGGUGGUCCCCCAAGAACACACCUCUGCUCUGAGAAGCCUGUAGGUCUUGCCUCAGGAACAGGACGGGCAGCAGCCCUUUGACCAAAGAGCUCAUUCAGGAAUGGCGGAAGUAAAGCAAUUCAGUGGAAUUCGUGCUGAAGAGUUUCAAAUUCCUCUGAGAGAAAGUUAAUGCGCUCGUGUAUUUCCAGAGCAAUUAUUAAAGAUUUUAUUGGUUGAAAACUUUUAAAAGAUUCAGAUUACUGGAAUUAAUACCUUUAAGUGAUCUUGCCCAGCAUCUAGAUAAUCAACUUGAACAACUUCGGUAAUAACAUUUGCUUUUACUCCUGCGAAAACACUUGUAAAACACGAUUUGGAAAAUACACUCUCGAAUGACAAACACAGAAAUAUAAAGCAAAUUUGGUACCCAGCUGUGGGCAUUUUGAUAUGUUUAUUCAUAGUUAUUAUUGAGCAGUGUGUUGAUCCAAUUGACAAUUAUGAUCAUUGUUACCUUCAAAGGAGUAUUUACAGCGUAGGAUUUCAGAGUAAUUGUGUGUGUGUAUACGUGAGUUUGUGCGUGUUUGAGGUUUGCCUCAACUUACAGAAGAAGACUUGCAUAAAUUUGCCUCGUAGGAAACUCUUUGUCCAAAAAGACUUCUUGAUUCCUGUACUAUAUCAUUACCUUACAGUUUGAGGAUAACGAAAACGUCAUCUGAAAGGAAAAACGUGCUUAGGAAAUUCGCUACGCCUCUUUUUGAUUUUUUAGGUAGUUUCCACAAAGCUGACAUGAGGUUUUUUUCUUUGUGACUGUUUCUCUUCCAAAAGAAAUGAACAAAUAUACGACUGAGAAGAUGUUUCUAACAAGAGUGAGUUUUACCGCUGUAUAUGAUGCUAAAACCAAACAUUCUCAAGACAUGAACUUCCCAAGCAAGCGGAAACAAACAGUAACAUUCUUUGUAAAAAUGUCGUCUUGCCACUAAUAAGAAUGAGUUUUGGUGAUUACAGCUAGCCGUGAUGCAAAUUCCCAUGACACAGGGGCAGUGUGACAUUAGGCAUGGAAAGUACAGACCCUUUCUCAGAGCCUUGGACACCCUCUCCGGUCAAGUCCUCUCUGCCCCAGGCCUCUUUCUGGCUCAUUCCCAGCCCAUGGCCUCUCAUGUGGAACCUUGUUUAAAUCUGCCAGCUCCACCAGGUCCUACACUCGGAGGAAACUUAUCAUCUGCCCAUGCUACUUCCCAUCCUCCAUGCUGGAAGACGCUGCUGACAUGUAAUACUCCAGACUUCCAGAGUCAUUGCCAGGAAUUCACUAUGUUUCAUGGCAGGCGUCCAUGAACCACUCUCCUCUAUAGAUGGUCAGGCUGAGUCCCAAGGAGUGAAUGACUUGCCCUUUGAAAACAGAGCAGAGGCAGAGCCAGGUUCAGAAGGUAGGAGGGCCCCCCUAAAAAAUGGGUCACCCCACAUGCAAACUCAGGAAGUGAAAAUGUGGCCUCAAGCUCUACGGCAGGGGAGGACUUUUAGUCCGGCUAAAUAUAGUGACCCGAACUGGAGGACAGCCAGCGCUCAGGGUACCAGCCUCACGGGAGCAUUCUAGGAUCCUUAAUUGCCACAGGUGGGCUGCAUAGUUCUUUUAAAGCUCGCCUAAAAAUAAACCUUCAAUGAGUCUAGCUCCAAGGGUUGAUUGUAUUAUCAUUAUAAAAAUCAGGAUGAAAAGAGGUAGUGGUGAGGAAGAGAAAGAAGAAGUAGGUUAUUCUUUGGAAAUUGGAGGAGGUACCUUCCACGAGUUGCUGGGGAAUGAUGUUGAAAAUCGAUAUUUUUUUUCAUCUUCUUUUUAAAAAUGUCUUACAGACAACUAUUGUGUUUGCUGUUUACAGUAUUCUCUUUGUUGUGUAGAAGCCCGAGAAAUGUACCUGUCAAUCUGUGAUUCCUCACUGCCUGAGGUCUGACCAUCUCACCUCCGGAGAUGUCUAUUUGCAGCCUGGGGCACCAGCCCUAAGCAGGGAAAAGUGAACCCACCAAUAGGCCGGCAAGGUGCCUUCUCCACUCCCUGGGGAGCCCUAACCUCCUUGGGUGCAACAGGAGAACAGGGUGGGAAUGAACAAGAGCUUUGGAGCCAGAUAGACCCAGAGUUUGAAGCAGGGUUUCACUCUCACUGCCGUUUCUAGAUGCAAGCCUUGGGUUUUUGUUUCUACCUCAGAAAUAAUAAAAUACCCAACCUUCAAACAGAGGUCACGAGAUCAGAUGAGGGAAUGGUACAGGGUGGCUUUCAAAGGGCCUGACACGUGAUACCGUCAGUCCACUUUUAGGGGUCCUUGCUUACCAUCUAAAUAAUCACCUUGAACAAUUUAGGUAAUCGCAGUUACUUUUAGUGCGACUAAAACACUUUUGUUUAACAAGGUUUGGUGCUGGGAAUAGAAUACUGGGGACAGCAUCAGUUUUACAGUGGCUUCCAUGGGAUAACUUGCAGAGAAUAACUUAUUUUAUGACUAUCAGAAAUACAGAGGGAAGACCUCUUCUUUUUUUAAAAUUUAAAAUGUUUUUUAUUUCUCUUUUUUUGGGCCGUGGUGUGGCAUGCGGGAUCUUAGUUUCCCACCAGGGAUCAAACCUGUGCCACCUGCAGUGGAAGCACAGUGAAGUCCUAAGCACGGGACCAACAGGGAAGUCCCAAGACCUCUUCUUAAUUGGUAUUUCACAUGUCCUCUGAUUUUUUUUAUUUGACUACCCACUUAAGGUCAAAUGAAUUUCCUUCCUGGAUAGAAGGUGAGUGAAUUACCGGGGCCCAACUAUGCCAACCUGGCUCCUUGUUACACGUUUGCUAUCGGGCAUCCUCCAUACUGUCGUGUGCCUUUUCCCUUCCUGAAAAGCAGAAGCCUUCGUAGACACAUCUGUUGUUCUCUUCUUCCCCAAGCUAGUGACUCUCUAGUGUUCUGUGAAUUCUUCAUCCAGUAACAUUGGACUCACGUGGGACCAUUUUCUGCUGAGAGAUUUCUCCAGACACACAACCUGCAAGCUGAGUUUCCCGGUCCCUGAAAGCCACUUUCUCCUCUCAACCGUGUGCAUUUAAAUAUAAUCCUCAAUAAACAAACAGUUUGUGCCACUA
Long non-coding RNA from Orcinus orca (killer whale), 4815 nucleotides. RefSeq lists it as uncharacterized. The transcript is spliced from 2 exons. The record is from RefSeq and is a predicted model, not a curated record. Lineage: Eukaryota; Metazoa; Chordata; Mammalia; Artiodactyla; Delphinidae.